UUGGUGUCUCUUCCAUAGAUCGUACCUUGAU
Molecule: non-coding RNA, 31 nt
Filed under: Rattus norvegicus (Norway rat)
Lineage: Eukaryota; Metazoa; Chordata; Mammalia; Rodentia; Muridae
Source: RNAcentral